CCUUGAUGCUAGGGAAUUUGGACUUCAUUAUCUAGGCAAGAAUAGGAGUGGGAAGGAGAGGCAUCUAGUAACAGCUUUAACACGUGAAAGCUAGAUAUCAAAGAGCUCCCUGAUAUUCUUGUUGAGUGGAGGUUUUGAAUCUAUGGUUCAAAGGCUACUUGAUGUCUCCUUGGUCUCUGGGUGGUCUGUGGACUCCCCUCUUAUAAUAUUGAUUGGGACAGGACUCUACCUUCAUGGCUGUCAUGUGAACUAAUGAUUGACAAUGGCCCUUAUCAAAAUCAGUUCCAUUUUCCUCAUUCCUUGUAAUAAAGUUUACCCUCUCUACAUCUGUUCCCACCGCCUGCCCCAGCAGUAGUGGGAGGUGAUUCCUGAGUGUUGUUAUAUUGGAGUGGCCCCAAGAAGUUCUAGAACUACUGCUCCAGAAGACCUCAGCCAUGGAGAUAAUGUCACACCUGAUUGUCUUGAAUGGCUUUAUCCAGGUUAGCCAGUCUUCUGAGCCCUAGGUCAAACCUCCCAGCCACCUCCCAGCUGGGAUGAUUACAAAUGGACUCACCCUUAGUCUAAAAAGAAAUCCUAAAAACAAAUGAACAAAUGGACUCGGUCCACGGACACCUAGCCAAGACUGUCUCUGAGAAGAAUGACAUGCCUUCAGCAUGAAGUAGCUACAAGAAAAGGACAUGUAAUUAAGGAGGAAAAAAAAAAUCAGAAACUGGAGCCAUUAAAGAGACUGUGAUAUGAGGAAAACAUUGUACAGGAGAUGUGACCGAAGAUCUCAGAUCUGAGAACUGAAAGGGAAUGAAACUAGUUAAAAUUCCACUGCUCAUUCGCUCCACGGGAGAAAUAACAUUCCUGUGCGAUGCCACUUGCCACUUCAUUUUUAG
Molecule: long non-coding RNA, 881 nt
Filed under: Homo sapiens (human)
Lineage: Eukaryota; Metazoa; Chordata; Mammalia; Primates; Hominidae
Description: non-protein coding lnc-RWDD3-1:9
Source: RNAcentral